Molecule: ribosomal RNA, 523 nt
Filed under: Beauveria bassiana
Lineage: Eukaryota; Fungi; Ascomycota; Sordariomycetes; Hypocreales; Cordycipitaceae
Description: SSU rRNA
Rfam family: Bacterial small subunit ribosomal RNA
Source: RNAcentral
UUAAGUCUUUAUUUUUGUAUUGUAAUAGACUACGUUUUAAUAAGCUAUAUGUAAAUAUAGUGCUUAGGCGGAGCUUAUUAACACACAAAUUAAAGAUUAAAUUAGUAUUGAAUGAAACUUUGUUUAUAUAUCGAUAAUGACGAUAUAUAUAUUAUGUCUUGACCAAUUACGUGCCAGCAGUCGCGGUAAUACGUAAGAGACUAGUGUUAUUCAUCUUAAUUAGGUUUAAAGGGUACUCAAACGGUCUGUUUUGCACAAAAGACUAGAGUUAUAUAGAAGAAGGUAGUACCUUAAGUGUAGAGAUAAAAUUUUGUUAUACUGGAGGGACUUAGAAAAGGCGUAGGCAACCUUCUAAGUAAUAACUGACGUUGAAGGACGAAGGCAUAGGUCACGAACAGGACUAGUAACCCAAGUAGUCUUUGCAGUCAAUGAUGAAUGCCAUAGGUUAGAUAAAAAUUUAGUCUAUAAAUGAAAAUGUAAGCAUUUCACCUCAAGAGUAAUGUGGCAACGCAGGAACUGAAAU